CGGGGCUCGCAGCUCAAGGCAAACACAGUGGAGGGGGGUCCGCCGAAACCCAGCACCGGGAUGAGCAGGUCGGCGAAGAACACAAAAGCUGCUCCCAGAGCAAAGCCCACAGCCACAGGGAGGAAAGCGAAGGCUCCAAAGCUGCCAGAGUGCUCGGCCAUCUCGAUAGCCGGGGCCAAGAGGGACCAGUAGGAGGCGGCCAGCAUGACCCCCGCAGCAAAGCCCAGGCUCCCAUCCAGGAUCCGCCUCUGCCCGCUGGAGAAGAUGAACACCAGCGCUGAGCCAGCAGCUGUCAGCCCCCAGGUGAGGAGGGUUCCCAGCACCGCCUGCAGCACCGGGCCCUGCCCUGGGAUCAUGCUGAGCGCACGGGGAGCGGCAGCCGCCCGGCCCCGAACCCCGG
RNAcentral lists this long non-coding RNA (400 nucleotides) under Gallus gallus (chicken). Lineage: Eukaryota; Metazoa; Chordata; Aves; Galliformes; Phasianidae. The record is from RNAcentral.